AAUUAAUAAUCUUGUUUUGUUGAGUGAAGUCUUAUAAAUUAUUUUAAUUAAAUAAAUUAAUGUUGUUGUAAAAUAUAUUGAUUAAAUUAUAUUUACUAUAGUGAAUUAGUAUUGUAGGGGAAUGGGUGAAAUAAUUUAAUUGAUAUAAGUAAGGAAAGGUAUUAUUAUUAAUGUAUCUUGUGUUUCAGAAUAUAUUAAAGUGAAUUAUUUAAUUUUUUUUCUCGAAUUAAAAAGAUUUAAUUAAAUAAGUUAGUUGUUGUAAAAUAAACAUUAAGAAUUUUUGAAUUGGUAAUGAUAUGUUAAUCGUUUUUUAAGAUAUCUAGUUUUUUAAUAAAUGAAUUUAAUUCAUGAAAUAUAAGUUAUUUUAAAACUUUUAUUUUAAAGUAUUUUAUAUUUAAAAUUUCAAAGGGGAUUAGCUUUUUGAAAUAAUAAUUAUAAUGUAAAUAUGUAAAAAGAGGAUUUUAUGAAUUUAGAAUUUGUUCUUGAUUAAAGAAUGUUAAAAUUUGAUUCUGAAUUUAUUAGAUUUAUAAAUGUAUUUAAUUUAUAUAUUAAAAUAUUGAUUUUAAUUUAAAUUUUUUAAUAAAUAUGAUUUAAUUAGUAAAUUUGAAGUAUUAUAUUGUUAUUGAUUUAAUAAUGUAUUAAUAUAAAGAAUUAGGCAAAAUAUUCACUCACCUGUUUAUUAAAAACAUGGUUUCUUGAUAAGUUAUAGGAAAUUUAAUCUGCCCACUGAAGAAAUUUUGAAGGGCCGCAGUAUUUUGACUGUGCAAAGGUAGCAUAAUAAUUAGUCUUUUAAUUAAAGGCUGGAAUGAAUGAUUGGAUGAGGUGAUAACUGUUUUAUAUUAAAGUGGAAUUGAAUUUAGGUUUUAAGUAAAAAAACUUAAAUGAUAUUAAGGGACGAGAAGACCCUAUAGAGUUUAAUAAAUAUCUUUUUUUAUUAAGUUUAAUGGAAAUUUUUAAUUAUUAUUAGAGUUUAUUUAAUUGGGGCGAUUAAAAGAUAAAUGAAACUCUUUUUUAAUAUAAAUAUUAAUAGAUAAAUAAAAGAUCCAUAAAUUAUGAUUAUAAGAUUAAAUUACCUUAGGGAUAACAGCAUAAUAUUUUUUAAGAGUUCAAAUCGAAAAAAAUGAUUAUGACCUCGAUGUUGGAUUAAGAUAAAUAUUGGGUGUAGAUGUUCAAUUAUUUGGUCUGUUCGACCAUUAAAAUCUUACAUGAUCUGAGUUUAAACCGGUGUAAACCAGGUUGGUUUCUAUCUUUAAUUUUAUGAAAUGUUUUAGUACGAGAGGACCAAAUAUUUAAAAUAAUUUUAGUUGAAAUGAAUAUUAUAAAUU
RNAcentral lists this ribosomal RNA (1325 nucleotides) under Parasphendale agrionina. RNAcentral's name for it is "16S ribosomal RNA". The record is from RNAcentral. Lineage: Eukaryota; Metazoa; Arthropoda; Insecta; Mantodea; Mantidae.